RNAcentral lists this ribosomal RNA (449 nucleotides) under uncultured bacterium. Its description in RNAcentral is "partial 16S ribosomal RNA". It matches the Rfam family "Bacterial small subunit ribosomal RNA", at positions 29 to 523 of the family's 1533-position model. The record is from RNAcentral.
AACGAACGCUGGCGGCAUGCCUAACACAUGCAAGUCGAACGAAGGCUUCGGCCUUAGUGGCGCACGGGUGAGUAACGCGUGGGAAACUGCCUAUUGGUGGGGAAUAACGACGGGAAACUGUCGCUAAUACCGCAUAAGCCCUUCGGGGGAAAGAUUUAUGGCCGAUAGAUGUGCCCGCGUCCGAUUAGCUAGUUGGUGAGGUAAUGGCUCACCAAGGCGACGAUCGGUAUCUGGUCUGAGAGGAUGAUCAGCCACACUGGGACUGAGACACGGCCCAGACUCCUACGGGAGGCAGCAAUGGGGAAUAUUGGACAAUGGGCGAAAGUCUGAUCCAUCUAUGCCGCGUGAGUGAUGAAGGGCUUAGGGUUGUAAAGCUCUUUCGGGUGGGACGAUGAUGACGGUACCACCAGAAGAAGCCCCGGCUAACUUCGUGCCAGCCGCCGCGGUAA